Molecule: long non-coding RNA, 3176 nt
Filed under: Piliocolobus tephrosceles (Ugandan red Colobus)
Lineage: Eukaryota; Metazoa; Chordata; Mammalia; Primates; Cercopithecidae
Description: lncRNA (ENSPTEG00000013232.1)
Source: RNAcentral
AUAUAAAAUGGUAGAACGACAACAAUUAUUAGAUGUACGUACAUAUCCAUGUAAUAAACAAAAUAUUACUGGUACAGAUAUGUAUGGGAAUGAUGAUACUGUGUUCAAACCAAAAAAAUUAACCAACCUAUCUUUAGUAAGUGCAAAAUUUUUAGCAAAACAUCCAUCUGUUGAUUUUAUCCUCUUAUCAUUUCAAUUAUUAAAAGAUUAUUUUCAGAAUUCCACAUAUCGGAUGAAUUGUUUAUUAUGGAUACUCCAACAUUAGAUACUGUCAUAAAUAGCGACCAUGGUAGUGGUAGAGACGAUGGUUGUGGUAAAGACGAUGGUAGUGGUAAAGAAGAUGGUAGUAGUAAGGACGAUGGUAGUGGUAAAGAAGAUGGUAGUGGUAAAGAAGAUGGUAGUGGUAAAGAAGAUGGUAAUGGUAAAGACGAUGGUAGUGUUAAAGACGAUGGUUGUGGUAAAGACGAUGGUUGUGGUAACGAAUAUAAAAACAAUUCGAACAACUACCCAUCUGACAACUACACAUCGGACAACAAUUACAAUUCCAGCCAAAGUAUAAAAAAAAGAAUUUGCGAGAAUAAUAAUGUGAUAAAUAUAUACAGUACAAAUAAUAGAUCCUUCAAUGAUGGUGAUACAUAUCGUGCCAAAAACAAAUCAAACCUUGUUACUAAAAUAUAUGAGAAUAGUAAUAAUUACACACAAGAUAGUAACAAUAAAAUAACUAUUUUAAAAGCAUUAAACAAAAAAUAUCCUGAUUUUAUUAGUGGUUAUGUAUUAGAUAUUGAUUAUGUUAAAAAAAUAAUCGAAAUAUAUGGAGGAACUAAAGCAUCUGUUGAUGUACAAGAGCUAAAUGACGAUCAACUAAAAGCACAAUGCGGUUUUAAAUUAUUAAAAAAAGAAAUAAUGUUAUUAGAAAAUGAUUUCGAUACAUAUAUAAGCAAAUCACAAUAUGAACAUUCAGAAAUAAUGGAAAUAGAACAAGAGAAAUUAAAAAAUGAAUGUAAAGAUAAUGCAUCCAAAACAUUACUAAACCCAAAUAUUAUUUAUCUUAUUUUUUUUAUUUUAUCUAAAUUAAAAUAUGAAUAUUUAUAUGAUAGUAAUACAAACAAUUUAAAAAACUUAUCUUAUUUGAUAGAUAAUAUUCAUGGUGUUAUAUUACAAUUUAUCGAAUUUAUACAAACAAAUACAGACCCAUUUAUUUAUUUUGCAAUUAUACCAACAGUUGAACAUAUUUUUGAGUUUUUUGAAAUAGCUCAAGCAUUUCAUAUUAUUAGAUAUGCAUUUCCAUUUGGGAUAGAAAAAGAAAUUCUAUCUGAGUCGAUUAUAACAGCAGGAUCUUCAGUAGAGUCUGAAAUAAUUGCGGAACAAAAAAAAAAAAAAUUACAAAAUAAAAAAAAAAAUAAUAUUUCUUCUGAACAAACAUUACUAUCGUCAAAUUGUGUUUUGUCAAAUUGUGUUUUGUCAAAUUGUGUUUCGUCAAAUUAUGCUUCGUCAAAUUCUGAUUCGUCGCAUCAUGACGGUGUACAAAAUAAUAACAGUGACAUAAAAAUUGCGGGGGUAAUAGGAGAAGAUGUAUCAGUAACGAUGGAAAAUGAUCAUACUGAUGUGAGUAAAUUGGGUAAAGACAUAGAGAUAGAUAGACAAGAUGCUCAGAAAACGGAUAUGAGUAAGGAAGAUGACCCCGUAAAAAAUGAUCUUAAAAAAAAAGAUCUUAUAAAAGAAGAUCUUAUAAAAGAAGAUCUUAUAAAAGGUGAUCUUAUAAAAGAAGAUGACAAGAAUAAACAAACCGAACUAAGUCAACAAACCGAACUGAGCCAACAAACAGACCUGAGCCAACAAACAGACCUGAGCCAACAAACAGACCUGAUUCAACAAACAAACCACAAUGACGAACCCAACUUAAACGGAUCAGAUUUUUUAAAUUACACAGACGAAAAUAACUCCGAACUACAAAUUGAUCAUUCAAAUGACACGGCAUGGAAAAAGAUCUUAACACCUAUUAUUAAUAAAUAUUUAGAUACGAACCAAUUAAAUGGAAUAAAUUACGAUUUUUAUUUAUGUUACUGGAGAUUAGAUAUAUCGGAUAUUUAUAUACCACACAAACAAUAUUUGAAAUUGAUUGAGAAAUAUGACAGUUAUAUUACAGAGUUAGAAAAAUAUAUAUUAAUCGAAAAAGAAAAAGAAAAUGAACGAGAUAGAGAUAGAGAUAGAGAUCGAGACCGGGAUCGAGAUAGAGAGAGGAACAAUGAAGAAUACGAAAAUGACCAAAGUAAUAAGAAUAAUCGCAGACAUAUGGAAAGAAAAAUGAAUAAAUUAAUUAUAAAAAGAAAAAAUAUAAAAAAUGAAUAUAAUUAUCAUAUAAAACAUUCAACAAACAUAAAAAAAAUAGUAUAUAAUAUAAUUGAACAUUGGGUAAAUCCAGAAGAAGUAGACUUAAAUACUUAUACAACUUUAGUUAAAAUUUUAGUUGCCCCUAGAAUAUUAAAUAGUGCAAGAGAUGCUUUAUUCUGUUCUAAAUUUAUACAAAUACUUUUAGAAUUCCAUACCCCAUUAUUUAAUUUUUGUACAUUUAUGCAUAUAUGUAUUAAAAUGUUAAUACCAUUAAUUAAUACAUGUACUGAAAAAGAAGCACUUAAUAUUGGAAUUUUUUUUGACGAUAUGUUUACAUUUAUUUAUCUCUUAUGUGAUGAUUUAAAAUAUUUUAAUAAUAUUUCAGAAAAAAAUCCUUGUUUUAGUUGUACAUUGAACUUUCAAACAAAAGCUACUAUUUCUCAUUCAUGCAUAAUUAAGCAUGUUACAAAAUUUGAUAAAACACUUGUCUCUUUACUUUUUGAAAAUAAAAAUUAUGAAAAAACAUGGAUUAAUUCAAAAGCUCUUGUUAUUUUCUUAUUCAAAUUUCUCAAUUGUUUUCCUCAUUAUCCUCAAACUAAAACCAUACUUACAACAUAUUUACAAAAUUUUGAACAGUUUGCUCAAACACAAGGUUGGAAAGAUAUAACCAUAUCAAUAAAUAGUUUAAAAACUAUAAUGGAAAGAAAUAGGUAUUUUUAUAUCUACAUGUAUAUAUAUGUAUGUAUAUGUGUAUGUAUAUGUACUUAUGUGUGGUGUAUGUAUGUAGAAAGUUGACAUUACAUGGUUUAUAUUUAACACAUACCGUAUAUUCAUUUUGCACCUAC